GAUGAACGCUGGCGGCGUGCCUAAUACAUGCAAGUCGAGCGAACAGACGAGGAGCUUGCUCCUCUGACGUUAGCGGCGGACGGGUGAGUAACACGUGGAUAACCUACCUAUAAGACUGGGAUAACUUCGGGAAACCGGAGCCAAUACCGGAUAAUAUAUUGAACCGCAUGGUUCAUUAGUGAAAGACGGUUUUGCUGUCACUUAUAGAUGGAUCCGCGCCGCAUUAGCUAGUUGGUAAGGUAACGGCUUACCAAGGCGACGAUGCGUAGCCGACCUGAGAGGAUGAUCGGCCACACUGGAACUGAGACACGGUCCAGACUCCUACGGGAGGCAGCAGUGGGGAAUCUUGCGCAAUGGGCGAAAGCCUGACGGAGCAACGCCGCGUGAGUGAUGAAGGUCUUCGGAUCGUAAAGCUCUGUUAUUAGGGAAGAACAAAUGUGUAAGUAACUAUGCACGUCUUGACGGUACCUAAUCAGAAAGCCACGGCUAACUACGUG
This 497-nucleotide ribosomal RNA is filed under the name uncultured bacterium. RNAcentral describes it as "partial 16S ribosomal RNA". It matches the Rfam family "Bacterial small subunit ribosomal RNA", at positions 28 to 507 of the family's 1533-position model. The record is from RNAcentral.